CCCUUAGAUGUUCUGGGCCGCACGCGUGCUACACUGAGUGGAUCAGCGGGUCAGGUUGCGCGAAAGUGUUUCCUAAUCUUGAAAUCCGCUCGUGAUGGGGAUUGACGGUUGCAAUUUUCCGUCAUGAACGAGGAAUACCUUGUAAGCGCGGGUCAUCAUCCCGCGCUGAAUACGUCCCUGCCCUUUGUACACACCGUCCGUCGCUCCUACCGAUUGAGUGGUCCGGUGAGGCUUUGGGAUCUGAGCAAAAAGAGCGUUUCGCUCGUUUGGCUCGGAAAACUCAGUCGAACCUUAUCAUUUAGAGGAAGGAGAAGUCGUAACA
This 322-nucleotide ribosomal RNA is filed under the name uncultured eukaryote. Its description in RNAcentral is "partial 18S ribosomal RNA". It matches the Rfam family "Eukaryotic small subunit ribosomal RNA", at positions 1470 to 1796 of the family's 1831-position model. The record is from RNAcentral.